UGGCUCAGUGGUUAAGAGCAUCUGGCUGCUCUUCCAGAGGUCCUGAGUUCAAUUCCCAG
RNAcentral lists this transfer RNA (59 nucleotides) under Neotoma lepida (desert woodrat). It matches the Rfam family "tRNA", at positions 8 to 63 of the family's 71-position model. From Rfam's summary of the family: Transfer RNA (tRNA) molecules are approximately 80 nucleotides in length. Their secondary structure includes four short double-helical elements and three loops (D, anti-codon, and T loops). Further hydrogen bonds mediate the characteristic L-shaped molecular structure. tRNAs have two regions of fundamental functional importance: the anti-codon, which is responsible for specific mRNA codon recognition, and the 3' end, to which the tRNAs corresponding amino acid is attached (by aminoacyl-tRNA synthetases). tRNAs cope with the degeneracy of the genetic code in two manners: having more than one tRNA (with a specific anti-codon) for a particular amino acid; and 'wobble' base-pairing, i.e. permitting non-standard base-pairing at the 3rd anti-codon position. The record is from Rfam by way of RNAcentral. Lineage: Eukaryota; Metazoa; Chordata; Mammalia; Rodentia; Cricetidae.